This 259-nucleotide ribosomal RNA is filed under the name uncultured bacterium. RNAcentral describes it as "partial 16S ribosomal RNA". It matches the Rfam family "Bacterial small subunit ribosomal RNA", at positions 334 to 585 of the family's 1533-position model. The record is from RNAcentral.
CAAUCCUACGGGAGGCAGCAGUAGGGAAUUUUCGUCAAUGGGCGCAAGCCUGAACGAGCAAUGCCGCGUGAACGAGGAAGGUCUUCGGAUCGUAAAGUUCUGUUGAAGGGGAAAAGGAGCGGAGAGAGGAAAUGGUCUCCGAUUGAUAUUACCCUUCGAGGAAGUCACGGCUAACUACGUGCCAGCAGCCGCGGUAAUACGUAGGUGGCGAGCGUUAUCCGGAAUGAUUGGGCGUAAAGGGAGCGUAGGCGGCCUGAUA